Molecule: long non-coding RNA, 564 nt
Organism: Amphimedon queenslandica
Lineage: Eukaryota; Metazoa; Porifera; Demospongiae; Haplosclerida; Niphatidae
Exons: 3
Source: RefSeq, a predicted model, not a curated record
CCACACCCAACAACCCCACCCAUAACACCCAUUUGUGCAUGUGCUAGUGUUAACCCAAUGAAGAUGAACUCCGGAUCGAGCUCUCCCACAGCAAAUUUCGUGGGUUUAAUUUUUGUUUUUGGAGCUUGGAGAACGAAAAGAACAAAAGUUUGACCAAACGGAAGAAACCUGCUAUACGUAGCUAUUCUGCUGACUUUUUGUGAUAACAAUGGCAUUUGGAACUGUUGACAUGCUCAUGAAUAAUGAUAACAACUAAUGCAGAGAAGAAAGAAGAUAAUACAUCUCUUUACUGACAAUAAAGAAUAUAAGCAAAUGAAGCAAAAAUGCUGUAUAUCUAAUUCAAUACAAGCAAGAUAGUCAUAGUCAUAAUAAGAACUGGAAAAUGAUGUGCAUAAAGUGAACUGAUAAACAAGUUUUUAGGCAGUAUUAUAUAAUACGUCUCACGACUUGAGAAAAAUUUGCAAGCCUGUAUUUAUGCAAACUAUCAAGAGUUUCACCACUAUGCAUCAUUAUUGCCUGGGUCUACCAGAUAUAUACUUUUUUCUAAUCAGUGUCCAAAUAUAA